UGGGUAGAUAUGUGUAAAGGCCUCGAGAGU
Molecule: non-coding RNA, 30 nt
Filed under: Mus musculus (house mouse)
Lineage: Eukaryota; Metazoa; Chordata; Mammalia; Rodentia; Muridae
Source: RNAcentral